Herminiimonas arsenicoxydans is the source of this 140-nucleotide non-coding RNA. The record is from Rfam. NCBI's taxonomy places the organism in Bacteria, Pseudomonadati, Pseudomonadota, Betaproteobacteria, Burkholderiales, Oxalobacteraceae.
AAGCUGCCUGCAUGUGUCGCUGAUCCGUCAGCACCAUGCCAGCAGCCAGGGUUUCCAGGCUGCCGCGGAUUCUCUCCGCGCCACCCGCCAGUCCGCCAUCGCAUCGAGUCUGCGGACGCGCGUCCUCGUGACGCCGAUGC